This 253-nucleotide ribosomal RNA is filed under the name uncultured bacterium. RNAcentral's name for it is "partial 16S ribosomal RNA". It matches the Rfam family "Bacterial small subunit ribosomal RNA", at positions 524 to 776 of the family's 1533-position model. The record is from RNAcentral.
UACGGAAGGUGCAAGCGUUGUUCGGAAUUACUGGGCGUAAAGCGCGUGUAGGCGGUUAUGCAAGUCGGGUGUGAAAGCCCGGAGCUCAACUCCGGAAGUGCAUUCGAUACUGCGUAGCUAGAGUACUGGAGAGGAUGGUGGAACUCUCGGUGUAGAGGUGAAAUUCGUAGAUAUCGAGAAGAACACCGGUGGCGAAGGCGGCCAUCUGGACAGAUACUGACGCUGAGACGCGAAAGCGUGGGGAGCAAACAGG